Molecule: long non-coding RNA, 428 nt
Filed under: Aotus nancymaae (Ma's night monkey)
Lineage: Eukaryota; Metazoa; Chordata; Mammalia; Primates; Aotidae
Description: lncRNA (ENSANAG00000038811.1)
Source: RNAcentral
UGGCAAGGAGUUCAACCAGCUUUCCUUUCCUAGGUCCUGCGAGCCUUUUAGCUCUGUGCUAAGAUGACUGUGUGUUCGAUGCCAAGACACUGUGAACCCGAGAAAAGAGACACUUUAAUAUCUCUGAAAUCAGGAUGUGUUUUACCAUCAGUGGCAUCCUAGAUGAAAUGAACAAGAAGACUUUUCGUCAUCACCUUAUGGUAACACGGCAUAGAUUGUAUCAGACUCAUCUUUGGACUCCCGAAAUUCUCACUUGGGACCCCAAAUGUACACAUUUGAAGUCUUUGUCUUGUCACCUGACUGAUCAAACAGGGAUCCAUUGGUGAGUCUGACUUUUGAACCAGUGCUCUGAAUGUCCCUUGAAGCACACAGUUAGGACAGAUUUCUAUUCUUAACAUUUUGGGUAUACUUCAGAAGCUGGAGAUAGA